AUAAGACGUAGGGCCUUGUUGAACAACAAGGGUGUCUUCCUGCUGGCAGACAUUUUGAAUUCUGUUUAUGUCUGUGUUUAUGUCUGUGUUUAUGUCUGUGUAUAUGUCUGUGUUUAUGUCUGUGUUUAUGUCUGUGUUUAUGUCUGUGUUUAUGUCUGUGUUUAUGUCGGUGUGUAUGUCUGUGUUUAUGUCUGUGUGUAUGUCUGUGUUUAUGUCUGUGUUUAUGUCUGUGUUUAUGUCGGUGUGUAUGUCGGUGUGUAUGUCUGUGUUUAUGUCUGUGUUUAUGUCUGUGUUUAUGUCUGUGUAUAUGUCUGUGUUCAUGUCUGUGUUUAUGUCUGUGUAUAUGUAUGUGUUUAUGUCUGUGUUUAUGUCUGUGUUUAUGUCUGUGUAUGUUAUAUAGCUGAGUCUACCUUUAAGUUGUCGUAUAACAGACGCAUGGAAACGGAUGAAAUUGGAUUCGCAUUUAUUAUUGUAUGUUUUUGUCAGUCGAAAGUUCAACUCAAGUCAACUAUUUCCGGAGGAGUUUCAUACGCACAAAGUCCGUCAUCUUGUGUGUUUUCUUUCGAAAGACGAUCAUCUCCGUUGUCCAUUUUCCAUCAACGAAAGCCCUCCAUUGAAAAACCAUUGGCUCAAAGCCAUAGUUUUCCUCACACAAACUUCCUGUCUGGCCACAGCCUUGGUAAUUGAUCAGGCUCCGGUUCCCCAAAAGCAUCCUGAGGCUAAGUUUAUCCUAGAACCAUAGGAUCCUUGAGAUGUUUUUGGGAAACCGGGCCUUGGUAGAUUUCUCUCGUCCUCUUGCCUGUUGUCCAUCCAUCAUCAAAUCAGAUCCCCCUACUUCCUUUAAAAACUGGCCUUCAUGUGCUUUCAUAUAUCUACUUCACAAAUGCAGUAUUUAUGCAAUACAAAUGCAGUAUUCGCUGUAAAAAAAAAAAAAAAGUGGUGUGUUUUUUGUUAUAUGGAAAUUACAUUGACAAGUAUUUUUCAUGGUGCUAACGUUUAGCCUUUAAAAAAAUAAAUAUAGUAAUGUAUUGCAAAUGUAGUUUUAUAUGACCAUCUAGAAUAUUGUCCUGUAGGUUUGUAAUUUAUACUUUAAUAUGAUGUACUUUUGACUUAAAACGUUUUGUCCCUUUCUGUAGUUGUGUUGUUCAUAAGGUAACUUUCCCACGAGUCCCAGGUGUUCCAGCAACCCCGGUUGGAAGAUUCCUGGAAUCAGGAAGUAAUAAGCAGGACAUCUGGGAAAUAUAGGAAUCCUACAACUGGGAAUUUUGGAAAAGUUACCAGAUUUUUUAAAAGAAAUGUGCAACCCUAGUUUUGUAUUGUUUGUGUUUUAUUAGGAUAAAUUCUGUAAUUGUUGUCAUCAGUCUGUUUUAACACCAGUGAACCUCAUCAUACAGGUAUAUUAUAGUGACCAGUAGAGCUCUGGUUAAAAGUAGUGCUCUAUGUUUUGGGGAUAGGGUGACAUUUGGGAUGCACUAUGGUUGUACCUAAUAAGUACUGCACCUGAUACUUGGCAAUGGUAGAGAACAAUAAACGUCAGAUUUCCAAACGAUAUGGCUCUUUUGGUACCUGGUCAUUUGAGUGUAUAGCAUUUGAUGAUUCAUACUAUCAUUAGCUAUAGAAUGUACAUUUAAACUCCUCAUGAUUAAACCAUGAGAAACCUUGUGGAUAUAGAGCCAUGACCUCCAUCCUGACCUAGGGAACCUAGAGGCUUUACUGCCGUUUCCAGCCUCAGACACACACACACACACACACACACACACGUCCUCUUUAACCCAACCAAUUAGGGCAUGUACUCAAUAUGCUGCUUAUUUUAGCUGCGGCGUGCUGAGAUGAGUGUGUUUAAGUUUUAGUCCGUGUCUAACUAUAGCUGUAAUGCUGUAGUCAGAAAAGGCGUAUUUAGGUCACAUUCAAAUAAACAACCGCCAGAGGCUUAGAAUACACAUCAGGCCUACCGUAUAUUCAACAAGCCCCAGAUCUGCUGCAUGUUCAUUCAACAGGCCCGAAACAGCGAGGCGCAAACUGAACUUGUCCAAUGGGGAAUCUACAUCGUUGACUUCCGUUGCAAAACGUUAUGCACUAAUGAAUACGACCCUGGUCAGUACAUUCAUUGGAGAAGCAUCACAGAGGAUAUAGACUGGCAGAGCAACUUGAGUCCGUUUCAACUUCCUCUGCUUCCUAUUGCUUUCUCUUUCCCUCCUCCUAUUCCCUCUCCUCCCAGUCUCCCCCCCCCCCCCCCCCCCCCAUCACCUCCUCCUCCUCCCUCUCCUUCUCUCUUCAAGGUGAUUGAUUAGGAUCCCCAUGGCGACAGCUGGU
Oncorhynchus mykiss (rainbow trout) is the source of this 2313-nucleotide long non-coding RNA. The record is from Ensembl. NCBI's taxonomy places the organism in Eukaryota, Metazoa, Chordata, Actinopteri, Salmoniformes, Salmonidae.